AGAGAGAAAAGGAAGACCAGAUGAAAGAGCAGAUGGAGAGAUUGAGGGAGGAGCUGAGCUGUUAGUGAACUAUAGAAGAGACACAAACUUCCACUUUCAACACAGUUCAACACACAAAAGCCAAACAUCAGCUUCAUCCAACAUGCUGUCUGUGCAGACAUCUGUGUUCACUCUGCUGCUUCUAGUCAUUGGAACAGAUGUCAGCUGUGAAGAACUCACUGCAGUCAAGAAGGAAGAGUCCACUUUGGAAGGAACUUCUGUCACUCUGUCCUACAAAUAU
Molecule: non-coding RNA, 280 nt
Organism: Oryzias latipes (Japanese medaka)
Lineage: Eukaryota; Metazoa; Chordata; Actinopteri; Beloniformes; Adrianichthyidae
Source: RefSeq, a predicted model, not a curated record